GCCCGGGUGGCGAAAUUGGCAGACGCGCCAGCCUUAGGAGCUGGUGACCGCAAGGUCUUGGGAGUUCGAGUCUCCCCUCGGGCA
RNAcentral lists this transfer RNA (84 nucleotides) under Candidatus Falkowbacteria bacterium RIFOXYA2_FULL_38_12. RNAcentral describes it as "tRNA-Leu". It matches the Rfam family "tRNA". Rfam says of the family: Transfer RNA (tRNA) molecules are approximately 80 nucleotides in length. Their secondary structure includes four short double-helical elements and three loops (D, anti-codon, and T loops). The record is from RNAcentral. Lineage: Bacteria; Candidatus Falkowiibacteriota. RNAcentral also lists the same sequence under 2 other names.